This 771-nucleotide ribosomal RNA is filed under the name uncultured Neocallimastigales. Its description in RNAcentral is "partial large subunit ribosomal RNA". It matches the Rfam family "Eukaryotic large subunit ribosomal RNA", at positions 22 to 635 of the family's 3401-position model. Lineage: Eukaryota; Fungi; Neocallimastigomycota; Neocallimastigomycetes; Neocallimastigales. The record is from RNAcentral.
GUACACGCUGUGACUAGCAUAUCAAUAAGCGGAGGAAAAGAAACUAACAAGGAUUCCCUUAGUAACGGCGAGUGAAGCGGGAAGAGCUCAAAUUUGAAAUCUUCAAGGUUUACCUUGACGAAUUGUAGUUUAAAGAAGUGUUUUCUGCUGGAGUUUUGGUAAAAGUUCUUUGGAAUAGGACAUCAUAGAGGGUGAGAAUCCCGUAUUUGACCAUUAUUUCAGCUUUGUGAUACACUUUCAAAGAGUCGGAUUGUUUGGGAAUGCAGUCCAAAAUGGGUGGUAAAUUUCAUCUAAAGCUAAAUAUUGGCGAGAGACCGAUAGCGAACAAGUACCGUGAGGGAAAGAUGAAAAGAACUUUGAAAAGAGAGUUAAACAGUACGUGAAAUUGUCAGAAGGGAAGCGUUUGACACCAGUGUUGUUUUCUCGAAAAUCAAUUAAAAAUGGCUCGAUUUGUAUUGCUGAGACCUUAAAAGCUCACUGUACAUUUUUCGUGUCUUUUUUAAUGCACUUUUCGUUUAACAAGUCAACAUCAGUUUCUUUUGUUGUAAAAGGGUCAUUGGAAGGUGGCUUUCUUUUCGGAGAAAGUGUUUAUAGCCUUUGGCCUCUGCAAUCGGAGAGACUGAGGUCUGCAGCGUAGACUCUUCGGGGUUAGAUACAUUUGUGCUAAGUUAUAGCUUUUUAUAGACAACUUGUUGACUAUAAUUAGUCUUGUAGCUUACUCGCUUAUGCUAUUUUACCUACGCUUAGGAUGUUGAUCUACAGAGCGAGAGU